This is a long non-coding RNA of Manihot esculenta (cassava), 2230 nucleotides long. RefSeq lists it as uncharacterized. The transcript is spliced from 3 exons. The record is from RefSeq and is a predicted model, not a curated record. Lineage: Eukaryota; Viridiplantae; Streptophyta; Magnoliopsida; Malpighiales; Euphorbiaceae.
GGUGGAAGAGGAGAAGGUCGUGGAGCUGCUAGUUUAUUACAAUCACAUGAUGAUCUCUCUUCAUAUCAGAGGCAUAGUCUAUCUCCAUCUCUAGCUCCAGCUCCAGCUUUGCAACAUACAUAUCACAGGUCCCGUGGUUCUGGUGGUAGCAGUGAUAAGGGAAAAGGUUUUGCACAUGGAGAGUGUUCUAUGGAUGCAGAUCAUUAUGCAUAUGGGACUUAUGGUACAAGUGAAUCUUCAAUGGAAGCAACCUCUACCGGUGAUUAUGGAUAUAAAGGAAAUUUUCAAUGGGAAUACUCAAAUCCAUAUCCAUAUCAGCCUCCUCCAUCGUAUUCUGAUUUAUCUUUGUCAGAGCAAUCAUCCUCCCACGCCCAAACCCAGUCCAAUCCUAGUGAUCAAUUUGGUAUGGGUUCAUUCUUCAGCUUUGAUCCAUCACAAUACUAUCAAUAUCAUCAAGAUCAAAGCUCUCAAUCACAAGAUGAAGGUGGUGGAUCUACUCAAGAACCUGCUAGACGCUCAUUUUGGUGGUAAUUGAGGUGAGAACAGUGCUGAGAUUAUUGCGCGAUAAGAACGGGAUUUGUUGCCGACAAUGAUGAAUGGCAUUUUGUACUGGCCCAUGUGUGAUUUUAUCACUUUCAAAUUCAUCCCUGUCCAUUUACAGCCACUGGUUAGCAAUUCAUUUUCGUAUCUAUGGACAGUUUAUAUGACAUAUAUGGCAAGUCUAGAGAAAGUGAACGCGAACAAAUGAUUAGCUCAAUGUUAAGGGUUGGUGGAUAAACAUUGAAUCAUGCCUUCUCCCGACAUGCUAUUGUGUUGUCAAUGGUGGGAGCUAGGUUGAAUUUGAUAGUUGUUGCAGUCUUUCCUAAUAUAGCUGAGCAGCAACAAUCAUAUUUUUAUUUUCUCAAACAGCAACAAUCAUGUUAGCUAGUGUAAUUGAAUGGAUAUUGUAUACAGCAAAGUGUAAUACCAUAGGAGACAUUUAUCUUCAUAAACGAGUGGAUAUUCCAUAUGAAAAAGUUGAUGAUAUGAAGUGCACUAAAUUGUUGAGUUGCAAUUUAUUAAUAGCUUGCAAAUUGAAGUUACCUAUCUGCAUUGGUCCAAGCUAUUUGGUCUCUCCUUUUGCAGCCACCAGGAUUUCAGUUUGCAGAUUGGCUAGCACAAUUAGUUAAUUAGCUGGUUUUUUGUGCUGUGUUUCUGAGUGAUUGAUCCCCUUAUCAGCUUGUUAGUGUUGGUUAGAGAUCGUUAAUGUUUCUUAGUUUGCUCUUGAAUGAAAAUUUUCAAUUACAAAAUAUCUUAAAUUUCCGAAUCCUAAAUACAUCAUGAUAUCUGCCUAAACAAAUGAAACCCAGAUCAGUAUGCAGCAAAGAAUUGCUACCAUGUACAGUAAUUAAAAGCUCAAUCCGGAAUGCAGCAAGGAAUUCAACCAGAUUUAAAACCCAAAUGAAGUAUAAGGCCUCAACACCCUUGUUUUUUAAUACUACAACCAAAAUGGAAAAUAAAUAUUUACGAAACAAAGCAUAUUCUAAUUUUGUCCAAACAAGCUGACAGAUACAAGUUUCAGGUGAUACUGUGCAUUGAAUUGUCUUCUCAGCAUCUUCCUGGAUGAUAGAAAACUAACUACCAAUGAGAAUAAUAGAUAAAAGUCUUCUUUGUGAAGCCCUAUAUAGCUUCCUGAAAAUGCCUACAUGCUUAAUGAUGUAGAAGUCAAUAGGUAGCCUUACCUGAGAGAACAUAUGUAACCAAUUGGCAUCACCACCAGUCUAUUUUACUAACAAGGAUAAUUGAAGCCAGUCCUCUGACAAAGGAAAUGCCUGUGAAGAACUUCCAAGAAGAUAGCAACCAUUUUUCUUGUUUUUUAUUUUCUUUUAAAAAAAUUCUGCUUAGUGAGAUUCCAAGCCAAAAACAUGAUUAUUAUCAAUGCUUACAAAACUUACGCUCCAGAAGGCGUAAUUCAGCUAAGUGACAAAGAAUAUUAGUUUGAUGGUCAUGAAAAACCAUGAUAUCUAUUCAACUGAUAAUUGUAGGAUAGAAAGAUCAAUGCAUCAUUUAAAUUUUCAACCUGCAACUACUUAUCCAGUAUUGAUGAUGCCAAAGCAAUUUGUUGAGAUUGUAUCAAAUUUUCUUUGAUGUAGCAUCACAUUUUCCAAUGCACAUGGAAAGGUAAGAUCUUCCUGGAAUUAUUCCAAGAUUUGUAUUCUGCCAUAACAUAUAUAGAUUCUUCAAAGCUUCA